UGGGGAAUUUUGCACAAUGGGGGCAACCCUGAUGCAGCGACGCUUCGUGAUUUAGAAGGCCUUCGGGUUGUAAAAAUCUUUUGUAUGGGAAGAAAAUGACAGUACCAUACGAAUAAGGAACGGCUAAUUACGUGCCAGCAGCCGCGGUAAUACGUAAGGUCCGAGCGUUGUCCGGAAUCAUUGGGCGUAAAGGGUACGUAGGCGGAUAAGCAAGUUAGAAGUGAAAUCCUAUAGCUCAACAAUAGUAAGCUUUUAAAACUGCUCAUCUUGAGGUAUGGAAGGGAAAGUGGAAUUCCUAGUGUAGCGGUGAAAUGCGCAGAUAUUAGGAGGAAUCCCGGUGGCGAAGGCGACUUUCUGGCCAUAAACUGACGCUGAGGUACGAAAGCGGGGGUAGCAAACAGG
This 402-nucleotide ribosomal RNA is filed under the name Actinomycetes bacterium. Its description in RNAcentral is "Actinobacteria bacterium partial 16S ribosomal RNA". It matches the Rfam family "Bacterial small subunit ribosomal RNA", at positions 355 to 776 of the family's 1533-position model. The record is from RNAcentral. Lineage: Bacteria; Bacillati; Actinomycetota; Actinomycetes.